Molecule: ribosomal RNA, 254 nt
Filed under: uncultured bacterium
Lineage: Bacteria
Description: partial 16S ribosomal RNA
Rfam family: Bacterial small subunit ribosomal RNA
Source: RNAcentral
UACGAAGGGGGCUAGCGUUGCUCGGAAUCACUGGGCGUAAAGCGCACGUAGGCGGCUUCUUAAGUCAGGGGUGAAAUCCUGGAGCUCAACUCCAGAACUGCCUUUGAUACUGAGAAGCUUGAGUCCGGGAGAGGUGAGUGGAACUGCGAGCGUAGAGGUGAAAUUCGUAGAUAUCAGGAGGAACACCGAUGGCGAAGGCAGCUCGCUGGGACGGUACUGACGCUGAGGCGCGAAAGCGUGGGGAGCAAACAGGG